GAAAGUAAACAAGGGCGCAUGGCGGAUGCCUUGGCUCUCGGAGGCGAUGAAGGACGUGAUAAGCUGCGAUAAGCUCCGGGGAGGUGCAAAUAACCUUUGAUCCGGGGAUUUCCGAAUGGGACAACCCGGCGUGUUGAAGACACGCCACCUGAUCAUUUCAGGAGCUAACGCAGGGAACUGAAACAUCUUAGUACCUGCAGGAAAAGAAAAUAACAAUGAUUCCCCCAGUAGUGGCGAGCGAACGGGGAAUAGCCCAAACCGUUCAUGUUACGGCAUGAUCGGGGUUGUAGGACUACGUCGUUGCAUGAAGACAUCGGAGAAGAACUUUCUGGAAAGAAAGACCAUAGAGCAUGACAGUUGCGUAUUCGUAUGUUGUCGAAGCAUAGUAGUAUCCUGAGUAGCGCGGAGCACGAGGAAUUCUGCGUGAAUCUGCCGGGACCAUCCGGUAAGGCUAAAUACUCCCGAGAGACCGAUAGCGAACCAGUACCGUGAGGGAAAGGUGAAAAGCACUUCGAACAGAAGAGUGAAAUAGUUCCUGAAACCGUGCGCCUACAAGCGGUCGGAGCUCAGCAAUGAGUGACGGCGUGCCUUUUGCAUAAUGAACCUACGAGUUGCCUUUGCCGGCAAGGUUAAGUGUGACGACACACGUAUCCGAAGCGAAAGCGAGUCUGAAUAGGGCGUAUAGUCGGCAGUGGCAGACGCGAAACCAAGUGAUCUACCCUUGGCCAGGUUGAAGGCUGGGUAACACCAGCUGGAGGACCGCACCAAUAAGCGUUGAAAAGCUUCUGGAUGAGCUGAGGGUAGGGGUGAAAGGCUAAUCAAACUUGGAGAUAGCUCGUACUCCCCGAAAUGCAUUUAGGUGCAGCCUUGUGGGUUACUGAUGUGAGGUAGAGCGACUGAUAAGAUGCGAGGGCUUCACCGCCUAUCAAGUCUUGACAAACUCCGAAUGCGCAUCAGUUUUACCUCAGGAGUGAGGGCAUGGGUGCUAAGGUCCGUGCCCGAGAGGAGAAGAAUCCGGACCACCUGCUAAGGUCCCGAAAUGACAGCUAAGUUAAACUAACGAAGUCUGACUGCUAAGACAGCUAGGAUGUUGGCUUGGAAGCAGCCAUUCAUUUAAAGAGUGCGUAACAGCUCACUAGUCGAGGAGUCUGGCGUGGAUAAUAAUCGGGUAUUAAGUUGUCUACCGAAGCAGUGGGAUCAUUGAAAUGAUCGGUAGGGGAGCAUUCCAGUCAGCGUCGAAGGCGUACCGCGAGGUAUUCUGGAGCGUCUGGAAAAGCAAAUGUAGGUAUAAGUAACGAUAAAGGGGGCGGGAAACCCCCUCGCCGAAAGACUAAGGUUUCCUGAUCAACGCUAAUCGGAUCAGGGUAAGUCGGGUCCUAAGGCUCAGCCGAAGGGCGAUGCCGAUGGCAGAAACGGUUAAUAUUCCGUUACUACCUCCAGGAGUGAUGUGGAGACGCAGUAGUGACAAUGCCGCCAUCUGACGGAAUAGAUGGUUGAAGGGUGUAGAUGUUGAUCUUGGCAGGCAAAUCCACCAUGAGAAUCGAACCUGAUAGUAUGCCGCGUCCCUCGGGACAAGGCAAUAGUGCAUGUAAUCAUGCUGCCAAGAAAAUCCGCUAAACUAAAUCCUGUAGGUACCCGUACCGUAAACGGACACACGUAGUCGGGAUGAAUAUUCUAAGGCGCUUGAGUGAUUCACGGUUAAGGAACUAGGCAAACUGACCCUGUAACUUCGGGAUAAAGGGUCCCUACCCGGUGACGGGAGGGCGCAGAGAAUAGGUCCAGGCAACUGUUUAACAAAAACACAGGGCUGUGCUAAAUCGAAAGAUCCUGUAUACAGCCUGACACCUGCCCGGUGCUGGAAGGUUAAGAGGAGACGUCAUCGUUGAGAGAAGCGUUGAAUUGAAGCCCCAGUAAACGGCGGCCGUAACUAUAACGGUCCUAAGGUAGCGAAAUUCCUUGUC
This 1961-nucleotide ribosomal RNA is filed under the name human gut metagenome. RNAcentral's name for it is "bacterial LSU rRNA". It matches the Rfam family "Bacterial large subunit ribosomal RNA", at positions 1 to 1973 of the family's 2925-position model. The record is from RNAcentral.